RNAcentral lists this ribosomal RNA (571 nucleotides) under uncultured bacterium. Its description in RNAcentral is "bacterial SSU rRNA". It matches the Rfam family "Bacterial small subunit ribosomal RNA", at positions 36 to 604 of the family's 1533-position model. The record is from RNAcentral.
CUGGCGGUAGGCUUACACAUGCAAGUCGAGCGAGAAAGUAUCUUCGGAUAUGAGUAGAGCGGCGGACGGGUGAGUAACGCGUAGGAAUCUACCUAGUAGAAGGGGAUAGCCCGGGGAAACUCGGAUUAAUACCGUAUACCUCCUAAGGGAGAAAGAGGGCCUCUCUUGAAGCUCUCGCUACUAGAUGAGCCUGCGUAAGAUUAGCUUGUUGGUAAGGUAAUGGCUUACCAAGGCUACGAUCUUUAGCUGGUCUGAGAGGACGAUCAGCCACAUUGGGACUGAGACACGGCCCAGACUCCUACGGGAGGCAGCAGUGGGGAAUAUUGGACAAUGGGCGCAAGCCUGAUCCAGCCAUACCGCGUGUGUGAAGAAGGCCUUCGGGUUGUAAAGCACUUUAAGCAGGGAGAAAAAGCAAUAAGUUAAUACCUUAUUGCCGUGAUGUUACCUGCAGAAUAAGCACCGGCUAAUUCCGUGCCAGCAGCCGCGGUAAUACGGAAGGUGCAAGCGUUAAUCGGAAUUACUGGGCGUAAAGCGCGCGUAGGUGGUUUGUUUAGUUGGAUGUGAAAGCCCU